GCCUCAGUAGCGGCGAGUGAAGCGGCAAAAGCUCAAAUUUGAAAUCUGGCGUCUUUGGCGUCCGAGUUGUAAUUUGAAGAAGGUAUCUUUGGGCCCGGCUCUUGUCUAUGUUCCUUGGAACAGGACGUCACAGAGGGUGAGAAUCCCGUGCGAUGAGAUGACCCGGGUCUGUGUAAAGUUCCUUCGACGAGUCGAGUUGUUUGGGAAUGCAGCUCUAAGUGGGUGGUAAAUUCCAUCUAAAGCUAAAUAUUGGCGAGAGACCGAUAGCGAACAAGUACAGUGAUGGAAAGAUGAAAAGAACUUUGAAAAGAGAGUGAAAAAGUACGUGAAAUUGUUGAAAGGGAAGGGCUUGAGAUCAGACUUGGUAUUUUGCAUGUUGCUCUCUCGGGGGCGGCCGCUGCGGUUUACCGGGCCAGCAUCGGUUUGGAGCGGCAGGAUAAUGGCGGAGGAAUGUGGCACGGCUUCUGCUGUGUGUUAUAGCCUCUGACGAUACUGCCAGCCUAGACCGAGGACUGCGGUUUUUACCUAGGAUGUUGGCAUUAUGAUCUUAAGUCGCCCGUCUUGAAACACGGACCA
This 576-nucleotide ribosomal RNA is filed under the name Candida albicans. RNAcentral describes it as "eukaryotic LSU rRNA". It matches the Rfam family "Eukaryotic large subunit ribosomal RNA", at positions 77 to 668 of the family's 3401-position model. The record is from RNAcentral. Lineage: Eukaryota; Fungi; Ascomycota; Pichiomycetes; Serinales; Debaryomycetaceae.